Roseateles aquatilis is the source of this 374-nucleotide non-coding RNA. It matches the Rfam family "transfer-messenger RNA". From Rfam's summary of the family: Bacterial tmRNA, also known as 10Sa RNA or SsrA, is named for its dual tRNA and mRNA-like properties. Its role is to liberate the mRNA from a stalled ribosome. The record is from Rfam. Lineage: Bacteria; Pseudomonadati; Pseudomonadota; Betaproteobacteria; Burkholderiales; Sphaerotilaceae.
GGGGCCGACCUGGUUUCGACGUGGGUACGGAUUCGGAGUAGGGCAUGCCGAGCACCAGUCAGCUCGUAAAUCCAUCUGGAACAAACCAACUGCGAACGAUCAAACGUACGCUCUCGCGGCUUAAACCCCGCGGACCUCUCACCGGUAGGCCAAUGGGCCGGGUGACGGGACGCAAGUCCUGACACAGAGAGGUUAUUCACAUUGGCUGGCUGUCAUUCGUGCACCUUGGAUGAUGGCGAGAUUUAGGGUGCUGGCCCGUCCGGUAGCGUGCUCCUGCGCGACCGGCCAGGCGAGAUCCAAACCAGAGAGCUAAGCAUGUAGAACUGCCCGAUGAAGGCUUGCGGACGCGGGUUCAAUUCCCGCCGGCUCCACCA